This 433-nucleotide ribosomal RNA is filed under the name uncultured bacterium. RNAcentral's name for it is "partial 16S ribosomal RNA". It matches the Rfam family "Bacterial small subunit ribosomal RNA", at positions 29 to 507 of the family's 1533-position model. The record is from RNAcentral.
AACGAACGCUGGCGGCAUGCCUAACACAUGCAAGUCGAACGAGACCUUCGGGUCUAGUUGCGCACGGGUGCGUAACGCGUGGGAACCUGCCCGUAGGUUCGGAAUAACUCUCCGAAAGGGGGGCUAAUACCGGAUAAUGUCUUCGGACCAAAGAUUUAUCGCCUUUGGAUGGGCCCGCGUUGUAUUAGCUAGUUGGUAGGGUAAAAGCCUACCAAGGCGACGAUCCAUAGCUGGUCUGAGAGGAUGAUCAGCCACACUGGGACGGAGACACGGCCCAGACUCCUACGGGAGGCGGCAGUGGGGAAUAUUGGACAAUGGGCGAAAGCCUGAUCCAGCAAUGCCGCGUGAGUGAUGAAGGCCUUAGGGUUGUAAAGCUCUUUUACCCGGGAUGAUAAUGACAGUACCGGAGGAAUAAGCUCCGGCUAACUCCGUG